UACGAGAGGCCCAAACGUUAUUCGGAAUUACUGGGCUUAAAGAGUUCGUAGGCGGCAUUGCAAGUCGGGUGUGAAAGCCCUCGGCUCAACCGAGGAAUUGCGCUCUAAACUGCAGUGCUUGAGGAAGCUAGAGGUGAGCAGAACAGAUGGUGGAGCGGUGAAAUGCGUUGAUAUCAUCUGGAAUACCGGAGGCGAAGGCGGCUCACUGGGGCUUUUCUGACGCUGAGGAACGAAAGCCAGGGUAGCGAACGGG
Molecule: ribosomal RNA, 253 nt
Filed under: uncultured bacterium
Lineage: Bacteria
Description: partial 16S ribosomal RNA
Rfam family: Bacterial small subunit ribosomal RNA
Source: RNAcentral